This 409-nucleotide ribosomal RNA is filed under the name uncultured eukaryote. RNAcentral's name for it is "bacterial SSU rRNA". It matches the Rfam family "Eukaryotic small subunit ribosomal RNA", at positions 592 to 1005 of the family's 1831-position model. The record is from RNAcentral.
CAAUAGCGUAUAUUAAAGUUGUUGCGGUUAAAAGCUCGUAGUUGGAUUUCUGCCGAGGACGACCGGUCCGCCUCUGGGUGAGUAUCUGGCUCGGCCUGGGCAUCUUCUUGGAGAACGUAUCUGCACUUGACUGUGUGGUGCGGUAUCCAGGACUUUUACUUUUGAGGAAAUUAGAGUGUUUCAAGCAGGCAUACGCCUUGAAUACAUUAGCAUGGAAUAAUAAGAUAGGACCUCGGUUCUAUUUUGUUGGUUUUCGGAACUUGAGGUAAUGAUUAAGAGGGGACAGACGGGGCAUUCGUAUUACGGUGUUAGAGGUGAAAUUCUUGGAUCGCCGUAAGACGAACUACUGCGAAAGCAUUUGCCAAGAAUGUUUUCAUUAAUCAAGAUCGAAAGUCAGAGGUUCGAAGAU